CAGUCGCCACGGUAAUACGAAGGGUGCAAGCGUUAAUCGGAAUCACUGGGCGUAAAGCGUGCGUAGGCGGUGAGUUAAGUCUGCUGUGAAAUCCCCGGGCUCAACCUGGGAAUGGCAGUGGAUACUGGCUCGCUAGAGUGUGUCAGAGGAUGGUGGAAUUCCCGGUGUAGCGGUGAAAUGCGUAGAGAUCGGGAGGAACAUCAGUGGCGAAGGCGGCCAUCUGGGACAACACUGACGCUGAGGCACGAAAGCGUGGGGAGCAGACAGGAUUAGAUACCCGUGUAGUCCCUGUCUCUUAUAC
This 301-nucleotide ribosomal RNA is filed under the name uncultured bacterium. RNAcentral's name for it is "partial 16S ribosomal RNA". It matches the Rfam family "Bacterial small subunit ribosomal RNA", at positions 509 to 807 of the family's 1533-position model. The record is from RNAcentral.